Molecule: long non-coding RNA, 576 nt
Organism: Dalotia coriaria
Lineage: Eukaryota; Metazoa; Arthropoda; Insecta; Coleoptera; Staphylinidae
Exons: 3
Source: RefSeq, a predicted model, not a curated record
AUACAAGUGUACUGCAACCCACAAUACACCUAACCUUUCAUUCAGUUCAUACCUCAUUGACAGAAUUCUACUGAAUCAUCACAAAUAUAGUUUAAAACGCAGAAAAACAUAAUUUUUAGCCCCAAGUAAACCCAUAACUGUAACUAUUCAUUUCUCUACCAUACAAGUGUGCUGCAACCCACAAUACACCUAACCUUUCACUCAGUUCAUACUACAUUGACAUAUUUGGACUGAAUCAUCACAAAUAUAGUUUAAAAAGCAGAAAAACAUCAUUUUAACCCCCUAAUAAGACUGUAACUGUAAUUUUUCAUUUCUCUACCAUACAAGUGUGCUGCAACCCAAAAUACAGCUAACCUUAAACACAAAACUGAAAAUAAUAGAAACAUAAAUCAAAAAAGCAGGAAAAUGUUAUUCUACGCCGUAAGUAGGCGCAUAACUGUAACUUGUGAGUAUCGAUUAUAUAAAAAAAUAACAUGGCAUAACCAUCGCGCGAUAAAUGAGGCCUGAUAACAGCCCGAUAUAACAACAAUAUUAUAAAUAGAGAACCAUAUAAAUACAUAAAUAUUUAAAAAGUGA